CCUACGGGUGGCUGCAGUGGGGAAUAUUGGACAAUGGGGGGAACCCUGAUCCAGCCAUGCCGCGUGUGUGAAGAAGGCCCUCGGGUUGUAAAGCACUUUCAGUGAGGAAGAACGCCUGGUGGUUAAUACCCAUCAGGUAAGACAUCACUCACAGAAGAAGCACCGGCUAACUCCGUGCCAGCAGCCGCGGUAAUACGGAGGGUGCGAGCGUUAAUCGGAAUUACUGGGCGUAAAGCGCGCGUAGGUGGCUUGAUAAGCCGGUUGUGAAAGCCCCGGGCUCAACCUGGGAACGGCAUCCGGAACUGUCAAGCUAGAGUGCAGGAGAGGAAGGUAGAAUUCCCGGUGUAGCGGUGAAAUGCGUAGAGAUCGGGAGGAAUACCAGUGGCGAAGGCGGCCUUCUGGACUGACACUGACACUGAGGUGCGAAAGCGUGGGUAGCAAACAGGAUUAGAUACCCCAGUAGUC
RNAcentral lists this ribosomal RNA (465 nucleotides) under Vreelandella stevensii. Its description in RNAcentral is "partial 16S ribosomal RNA". It matches the Rfam family "Bacterial small subunit ribosomal RNA", at positions 338 to 795 of the family's 1533-position model. The record is from RNAcentral. Lineage: Bacteria; Pseudomonadati; Pseudomonadota; Gammaproteobacteria; Oceanospirillales; Halomonadaceae.